AUAAAAAAAUCACCCUGUAUAUAUAUAUAUUCUAAUUACUAUUAAAAUUUAUAUAUUAACACGUUUUAUUCUAAUUAAGAGAUAUAAAGUAUUCAUUCCGAUGAUUUCCGUAUCGUCAUUUUUCGAAAUCGCAUUACCCCUCUCCAUGUAAUGACGACAAUCGUGUCCGGCACUACCGCCCCCAGAGAAAAACCUCGAUCUAUAUAAUAAAUUCAUCGUUCAAUUUGAUAAAUAUAUCAUUACUAUUGAAUCUAUGAUAUAUUUAUCAAUAUGAUAAUUUUUUUUCUUGUCUUGAACAAUAAUUAAUUAUAAGAAUAAUUAUUUUGUUCGUAUUAAUAAAACAUUAUCAUAAACCCUUGAUAAAAUUUCUCUAUCAAAAUUGAUCGAGGUUUUUCUUUGGGUGCGGCACCUUGCUGUCACUACGCUUGUGUACGCGAUUGAAGUUAUACCGAACCGUUUGGGUCUGAUGACUCGUGGCCAGCUCACUGGCAUAGUUUUCUUGUUGGGUUUGUGUCGGCCUGUAUGGGCGAAGCCCCAACGUACGGUUACUAAAGGCUCAAUCCAUAUUUGGAGUUGGUGUCCUUAGCGUCCGGUGGUGUUUCCUUUUCUGUGGUUCGUCGAGUUAGUGCGUCUUGUCACUAUAAAAUUAAUCGUGGCACUCAGGAUUGUUGGCGUCGGCCAAGAAGUAUUGUUGUGGAAAUCUCAAACAUUGCGAUAUCACGCGGCCGAAGAAGUGUCAAGUGGCUGGGUGAUGUUACUCCUUUUUCUUAUUACUUAAUGCUGUGCUCAUGUCAUGCCAGGAUAAUUACGCUGGAGAUUGUUGGCGGUCAUCUCUAUUGGAUUUAUUGCACAGUUUUUGGUAAAGCUACAAAAUUUUCACUUCUGUCGUACCCACGAUGUGUUGAUAGUGCUGUGCUGUUGGUUUUUUUUUAGCCAGUGCUUGCCCUCUCUUACUGUUCGUCAUUCCUCUAAAAUGCCUGUCAAACCUCGAUUCCAUAAGAUCUUGCUAUUCGACAACGGAUGAUGGUACUUUUCACGAUUACUUUGUGCAGUAGAAUGGCCGCUAUUUUCAUACGAAGGAAAAUUUUUGUGUAAAACUUCAGGAGCGCCGAGCGUAAAUUUGUUCCCUUAUGUCUAAAGAUAAUUUCUAAAAAAUUUGAGCUUUAUAACACUUGAUUAACUGGGUGCAAAUAAAGCUCAUAGUUUUGGAAAACUAUUUUUUCAGUGUUUUACAUUUUUAGGCUUUAGACUUAGUUUUAUGAAAAGUAUUAUUACAUAUAAUAAUGUAGCUAUUGUAAUUUUCUAUAAAAAAAACUUCUUACAAUUUCGCUUUUAGUUAAUACUUUUUGGUUAAAAUAAUAAAACUCGACAAUACUCAUUAAUUAUGAAAAUUUCCAACUAUUUGGUUUUUUUGUAAUUUUCUAGUUUAAUUUUUGCAUUACAAAAAAAAAUCUAAACAAAGCUUAUUUAAAAUACUAUUUUAAAUAAAAAAGGUUAUUGGAUAAUUUCGAUUAAAACUGAUAGUUUUUGAAAUAUUGAUAAAAAUAUUCAAAAUAAUUGCUCAAUACUUUUACAAAACACUUAAAACGACUUAGUCUGUUGUUCUCGAAGUUUAUUACCACUACAAGAUUUUUUGCUUUUAUUUACAUUUAUAUGUUAGUUUUAGGUAACAAAAUUAGACUUAUGAUUAUACAAUGCAAUUGAAUAGAAAUAAAUAUAUAAAUUUUUAA
This is a long non-coding RNA of Daktulosphaira vitifoliae (grape phylloxera), 1730 nucleotides long. RefSeq lists it as uncharacterized. The record is from RefSeq and is a predicted model, not a curated record. The transcript has 4 exons. NCBI's taxonomy places the organism in Eukaryota, Metazoa, Arthropoda, Insecta, Hemiptera, Phylloxeridae.